RNAcentral lists this ribosomal RNA (513 nucleotides) under uncultured Gram-positive bacterium. RNAcentral's name for it is "bacterial SSU rRNA". It matches the Rfam family "Bacterial small subunit ribosomal RNA", at positions 8 to 521 of the family's 1533-position model. The record is from RNAcentral.
AGAGUUUGAUCCUGGCUCAGGAUGAACGCUGGCGGCGUGCUUAACACAUGCAAGUCGAACGAAGCGCUUAAGAUUGAUUCUUCGGAUGACGUCUUUUGUGACUUAGUGGCGGACGGGUGAGUAACGCGUGGGUAACCUGCCUCACACAGGGGGAUAACAGUUAGAAAUGACUGCUAAUACCGCAUAACCCGAUAGGAUCGCAUGAUCCAGACGGAAAAGAUUUAUCGGUGUGAGAUGGACCCGCGUCUGAUUAGCUAGUUGGUGAGGUAACGGCCCACCAAGGCGACGAUCAGUAGCCGGCCUGAGAGGGUGAACGGCCACAUUGGGACUGAGACACGGCCCAAACUCCUACGGGAGGCAGCAGUGGGGAAUAUUGCACAAUGGGGGAAACCCUGAUGCAGCGACGCCGCGUGAGUGAAGAAGUAUUUCGGUAUGUAAAGCUCUAUCAGCAGGGAAGAAAAUGACGGUACCUGACUAAGAAGCCCCGGCUAACUACGUGCCAGCAGCCGCGGU